Molecule: transfer RNA, 75 nt
Filed under: Methanomicrobiales archaeon
Lineage: Archaea; Methanobacteriati; Methanobacteriota; Methanomicrobia; Methanomicrobiales
Description: tRNA-Pro
Rfam family: tRNA
About the family: Transfer RNA (tRNA) molecules are approximately 80 nucleotides in length. Their secondary structure includes four short double-helical elements and three loops (D, anti-codon, and T loops).
Source: RNAcentral
GGGGUCGUGGGGUAGCCUGGACUAUCCUAUGGCGUUCGGGAUGCUGUGACGUGAGUUCGAAUCUCACCGACCCCA